RNA transcript from Zophobas morio, 3821 nucleotides. It is a transcript of the gene named zinc finger X-chromosomal protein-like, with no coding region annotated. The transcript is spliced from 5 exons. Lineage: Eukaryota; Metazoa; Arthropoda; Insecta; Coleoptera; Tenebrionidae. The record is from RefSeq and is a predicted model, not a curated record.
CAAAAUUCCCCAGAUAGAUAACAAUGACAGAUAAGUUUAUAAUUUUUGUAAAUAUUUCUGUUGGAAAAAAUUAAGCGCGAGUUAUGACGUCAAAAAGUUAGGUUAGGACUCUGACGUUCCGGGAACCGUUAGAGGGUCAGACGGUUCAUUCCAAUUUUAAUACUACUCAAACAGGAUUACAACCAAAAUGUCAACUUUGGAAUACUCGAAAGCAUUAACAGAAUGGGGACGAUCGUCAUGGAAAAACGUCCACAACUGUAAACUGUGCCCCAAUUUUACAACGUCACUUUUCUUUAUGGUAAAUCACGUCAAACGACACCGUUCCACUCUAGAAAAACUGACUUGUGAAAACGCCAAAAUCGAAGCAUUUUACUGUAAAGACUGCGAUUUUCAAACGGAACUAACGAUUCUGUUCAAACUACACGUUGCUAAAUAUCACGGCCUUAAGAGAGAGUCUAGUGAGGACUUCGACAUACAAAUCUACGUUUGCGAAAAGUGCAGCUUCAAAACAAACUUUUCGUUAAAGUGGUUUCAGCAUAUUUCAACAUGCACCAGAACGAAAACCGACGAAAUACGUUGGUAUUACUGUGCGCAAUGUUCCUACAAAUCUAAAUACAAAGUUAACUUGAAUCGUCACACUCAGAAUAGCCACUGGGCCAAGCGUUUUGCGUGUAACAAGUGUUCAUUUAAAACUAGACAUAAACAAAGUUUAAAAUACCACAUAAAUCGAAUCCACUUAGGUCAACAAGUUGGUGAGUGGUGGAAUUGCGAGAAAUGUUCUUAUAGAACUAGAACAAAGAACGAUUUAAAAAUACACAUGUAUUAUGUACACUUGAAUGAAGACGAGGUUAAAUGGUACGAAUGCAACCAGUGUCCUUUUAAAACUAAGUACAAAUCGUACUUAAAGACGCACGUAAACGCAAAACAUCUAGACGAAGAAAAAAUUACGUGGUACGAAUGUGAAAAUUGUCCGUACAAAACAAAAAUCGCGUCGAAUUUAAGAAGUCAUGUGGUUUUUCGGCAUUUGAAUAAGGGAGAAGUUAAGUGGCACGAAUGUGCGACCUGUUCGUAUAAAUGUAAAACGAAGAAUCAAUUAAAGCUGCAUUUAAUUUUCCACCAUUCAGAUAUGAAAUCAUUUCAGUGCAAAUAUUGCUCAUACAACAGUAAACUGGAAACUUACUUAAAAAGACAUUUAAAGAACUGCCACUCAGAUGAAAAUGAUGUUAAAUGGUUCAAAUGCGAACAGUGUCCAUUUAAAACUAAAUAUAAAGGAGUUUUAGGAAGCCACUUUAAUCAUAUUCACUUAGAAGCACACGAUCUCGAAUGGUUCAAAUGUGAAAAGUGUCCGUUUAAAACCACAGCGAAAAACAGCUUAAAAAGACACACACGUGCAAUUCACUUGAAAGAACACAUCGUUAAACAGUAUAAAUGUAAAGAGUGUGAAUUCAAAACCACGAAUAAAAAAAAUUUAAAGGUGCACAACGCGACACAUUCAAACAAAAAGAAAAUUAAGUGGUACGAAUGCGCGAAUUGUCCGUACAGGACUGUGUACCAGUCGCAUUUAAAACGUCACGUGAUUUGUAGACAUUUGGAUGACGAUAAAGUCAACUGGUAUGAAUGCAAAGAGUGUCCGUUCCGAACUAAGAGAAAAAGAGAUUUAAACUUGCACAUAAGUGCGAGACAUUUAGACGAAGAAAAAAUUAACUGGCACGAAUGUGGAAGUUGUACGUUCAAAAGUAAACGAGUGGAGGGUUUAAAACGACAUAUAGUUUCCCAACACACCGAUGACGAAAAAGUAAAGUGGCACGAAUGCGAAGAGUGUCCUUUCAAAACCAAGUACCAAAGAGCUUUAAAGAAACACAUAACGAGAAAACAUUGACUAAAAUUCUAUUACUUUGUGCAACAUGUUGUAUCUUUUCAUUAAAAUUUUGAAAAGCCGAUUUAUUUGUUCAUUUAUUAUUGUCAGCAACAGUCCUCGACAAACCAACGUAAAGACACAAAAUUCCCCAGAUGUCACUAACAUCUUUCUUUUUCUAUGGUUACUUCUACCGAACGUGAAUGCUUAAUUAAGUUUAUCAUUUCUGGGAUUAUUUCUGGUGGAAAAAAUUAAGCACGAGUUAUGACACUAAAAUGUUAGGUUAGGACUGACGUUCCUGGAACCAUUAGUGUCAGACGGUUAUUUCCAAUUCUAACACUACUCAAACGGGAUUUUAGUGGUUUUAGACAACCAAAAUGUCCACUUUGGAAUACUCAAAAGCGUUAACACAAUGGGGAAGACCGUCAUGGAAAAACGUCCACAACUGUAAACUGUGCCCCUAUUUUACAACGUCAUUUUUCUGCAUGGAAAAUCACACCAAACGACACCGUUUCCCUGUGGAAAAAUUUACAUGCACAAAUUCCGAAAUUGAAUUCUACCACUGUAUAGUCUGCGAUUUCAAAACGGAACUAACGAUUCUGUUCAAACAACAUGUCGCUAAAUAUCACGACCUUAAGACAGAAUCUGGUGAAGAUUUCCAUAUACAAAACUACGUUUGCGAAAAGUGCAACUUCGAAACAAACUUCUUGUUAAAGUGGUUUCAGCAUGUUUCAACAUGUACAAAUAAUAUCAUUUUAGAAGGACACAAUGCUGAAGUGUACACAUGUGAAAAGUGUCCAUUUAAAACCACAGUGAAAAACGGUUUGAAAAGACAUACAGGUGCAGUUCACUUGAAAAAAGACAUUGUUCAACAGUAUAAAUGUAAAGAGUGUGAAUUCAAAACUACGAUAAAAAAAAAUUUAAGAAUGCACUACAAUAGAAAACAUUUAGACGAAAACAAGAUUAAAUGGUACGAAUGCGCGAAUUGUCCCUACAGAACUGUAUACCAGUCGCAUAUAAAACGUCACAUGAUUUGUAGACAUUUGGAUGACGAAAAAAUCAAGUGGUUCGAAUGUGAAAAUUGCCAAUACAAAACAAAAUUCGCGUCGAAUUUAAGAAGUCAUAUGAUGUUUCGGCACUUGGACAAGGAAGAAGUGAAGUGGCACGAAUGUGCGACCUGUUCGUAUAAAUGUAAAAUCAAGAGUAAAUUAAAGGAGCAUACAAUUCUCCACCAUUCAGAUAUCAAAUCAUUCCAGUGCAACUAUUGCUCAUAUAACAGUAAACUGGAAAGUUACUUAAAAAAACAUAUGAAGAACCGUCACUUGAUCAAAGAUGGUGUUAAAUGGUACAAGUGUAGCCGGUGUCCAUUUAAAACUAAUGAUAAAGUAGUUUUAGAAAGCCACUUAGAAGUACACAAUUCUGAAGUGUACACAUGUGAAAAGUGUCCAUUUAAAACCACAGUAAAAAACGGUUUGAAAAGACAUUUCGGUGCAGUUCACUUGAAAGAAGACAUUGCUAAACAGUAUCAAUGUAAAGAGUGUGAAUUCAAAACUACAAAUAAAAGAUAUUUAACGCUGCACAACAAUAGAAAACAUUUAGACGAAAACAAUAUUAAAAGCUACGAAUGUGCGAAUUGUCCAUACAAAACUGUGUACCAGUCGCAUUUAAAACGUCACGUGAUUUCUAGACAUUCGGAUGCCGAAAAAAUCAAGUGGUACGAAUGCGAAGAGUGUCCAUUCAGAAGUGAGAGUCAAAGGAACUUAAACUUGCACAUAAGUGCGAAACAUUUAGACAAAGAAAAAAUUAACUGGCACGAAUGUGGACGUUGUACGUUCAAAAGUAUACGAGUGGAGGGUUUAAAACGACAUAUAAUUAGACAACAUACUGAUGAAGAAGAAGUCAAGUAACACGAAUGAGGCAUUACUUUGUACAUGUUUUAUUUUUUUAUUAAAAUUUUAAAAAACUA